RNAcentral lists this ribosomal RNA (253 nucleotides) under uncultured bacterium. RNAcentral's name for it is "partial 16S ribosomal RNA". It matches the Rfam family "Bacterial small subunit ribosomal RNA", at positions 524 to 776 of the family's 1533-position model. The record is from RNAcentral.
UACGUAGGGACCGAGCGUUGUCCGGAAUUAUUGGGCGUAAAGAGCGUGUAGGCGGCCAGAUAAGUCCGCUGUGAAAUCUCGAGGCUCAACUUCGAGCUGUCGGUGGAAACUAUCUGGCUAGAGUCCGGAAGAGGAGAAUGGAAUUCCUGGUGUAGCGGUGAAAUGCGCAGAUAUCUGGAGGAACACCGGUGGCGAAGGCGGCAUCCUGGACCGGCAUUGACGCUGAGGCGCGAAAGCUAGGGGAGCAAACGGG